CUCCAGGACUUUGCCCUGUUUGAGUUCCUGUCCUGACUUCCUUCAGCGGUGAACAGCAAUGCUGAAGUGAAUCCUCGGAGGUCUGUCAUCAACAAGAGGCAAGAAGAGACUUGACCAAGGAUCUCUAGAUGAUACCCCAGAUGAGAGCUACAGGUCCAGCGUCGCUUGGAGCCCCACCACACCAGAAGAGGAAGGCAGGAGCCUGAGGCUCUGCAGGGAGUGCUACCUGUCUGCCAUACACCCCCUGCCUCUGAUGAUGGCAGUGAAUAGCCAGUGAGUGCCCUGUCCCACAGCACCUACAAAGGGUGAUUGCUCUAGAGUCACAGUAGCUGCAAGCAAGGGACACUUUCCACUCUCUAUCAGCCUAAGGCAGCAUUUACAGACUCGGAACCCACAAAGGACAGGGAGCCAGCAGCUGAUACUGAAGGGCUAUGAGGGCCCUGUUUUUGAUGAGGCAGCCUGCAUCCCCCCCUGAGGCAGCUGGAUGAGGCAGUGUUAAU
This 500-nucleotide long non-coding RNA is filed under the name Cricetulus griseus (Chinese hamster). RNAcentral describes it as "lncRNA (ENSCGRG00015040220.1)". The record is from RNAcentral. Lineage: Eukaryota; Metazoa; Chordata; Mammalia; Rodentia; Cricetidae.